UCCAAAAGUACUUUUUUACACUCUUGACCUCGGAUCAGGUAGGGAUACCCG
This 51-nucleotide ribosomal RNA is filed under the name Phoma sp. Its description in RNAcentral is "partial 28S ribosomal RNA". The record is from RNAcentral. Lineage: Eukaryota; Fungi; Ascomycota; Dothideomycetes; Pleosporales; Didymellaceae.